Molecule: non-coding RNA, 2858 nt
Organism: Pocillopora verrucosa
Lineage: Eukaryota; Metazoa; Cnidaria; Anthozoa; Scleractinia; Pocilloporidae
Source: RefSeq, a predicted model, not a curated record
UAUAGUUUACACACAGGAAUUACAUCUGAUCUUCGCACAGUCAACAAAAUCACUUGCAGUAAUAUCAGAGUAAUUAUGCCGAGAAAAGCGAGAUCACUUUCGAAGAGGAAGACCAUGUAAUCCUGUAUCAUUAUAUCUUUCGGAUCAAAAAUGGCGGGCUUUUCAAUCUUCGAAACUCUACACGUUGUGGAUUCGUUGUAGUAAACUGUCUAUUUGUUUUGGCUGCAUUGGAUAGCACCUCUGAACUCAGUAAUCCUUUGGAUACUUGGCGAAAGGAAGAUCAGGAUAAUGUAUCACCCGUUAAAACACUACAAAGAACGAAUAAAACAUAGCAUGGAAACGCACUGUUCAGAAAUGAUGAAUUUAUGGACAAACUACUGAACUCCUACAUCAUGAGCACUGUGGAACAGUUUGAUCUGAACUGCACUGCAGCCAGAGUGUUGUUAAAUGCCAUGCCUGGGCUGGAAAGUGCUGCAGUUUUUCAGGAUAUGGAAGCAAUGCUUAAUCAAUUAUGCAAGUGGGCCAGAGAAGCCUUGGAACCCCUAAGAUCAUAUGCUACAGGUCUUUUAGCAUUUGCCAUGAAGAGUCAGAAUAUUGCUGCAGUAUUCAGAGAAGAAAACUCUACCUUGGUUCCCUGUAUGCUGUGGCAGCUGCAAAUUUUAAAGGACUUGUCAGACCUUACAUAGUCCCUUGUGACAGACCUGUUAAACAGGAUUAUCCUGAAGGCAAAGACAAACAGGAACAAGAGCAAAAACAGUAACAUUGUGAGUAACAGGGAAUGGAAAAUUUUGAUCUGGAAUAAAAUGAUCAGUUAAACAAUUGUUAUCAAGAACAAAAAUAUUUAAUGAUCAUCUGUGAAAGUUUGGCACCAAAAACUCUGUUUUAAGCCAGUUUAUUCUGAAUGGAAGUAAUGGGAUUACAAGAGGGAAAUUCUCUGGCAGGUGCCUUACCAAGGAAGCCACCUUCUUCAAAUCUUAUUGAAAGCACUGCAAGGAUAAUGUGAUGAAUAAGUUCCACAAAAGUGAGAUCUUUUGGAUGGGGUCCUUGAAGCUUUCAAUGGAAUAAACACUAGAUACCGGUAAAAGUUGUCUACAAGCAAAACAUCCAUUGUUAAUUAAAACAAGCAAGGGUUUCCGUUCCACUGGAAAUGUAAUUUGUGCACCUAAGGGAGGGGACCACAUAGUCCCUAUGUCCUUUUUCCUCUCCCCCCCUGACUCUUGGCAUGCAGCAGAGACUAAUUCUGCAGUAUCUGACUCCCUUGGGAGAAUAUCAGGAGGUAUGUGCUGUAAUAAGGCACUUGAUCAUUUAAUGUAAUGAGAAGAACUGUAAGACUCUCUCCACUGAAGUUUGUGGGAAGCUUGUGAGAAACGUGUACUCAAUCUGAAGGAUAAUUUAGAAACUUAACAAGUUUGAGCGAGGACCGACUAUUAAACAGUAGCCUCUGUUUAGUGUAAAAAUAUGCUCGUACUUUUUUUUGGUGGACAUUUAUUUUGUCUAGAGAGGCCAAGAAUUUUCGGAGAGUAAAGCUUGAGGAAAACUGUGUGCUUUUAGGAACGGAUCAUGUUUAAAGACAAAAUAUACGUGUAUAUAUUAGAGCCAAAUUGAGGACGUAUUCUUUUGCUUUUUAUCCCUCAAAUAUUUUUUUGCAGUGCAGAACAAUCAGCUUAGCGUUGAAAACGGAUGUUGAAUUUUCGAAGAGACUUCACAAACAAACAAAUUUGUCUCUCCUUCGUUAUCAACUUGGAUCGACUUCUAAAGAAAAAAAAAGAGCAGAGCGAUAUGACCUUGUGAAAUCAAACCAAAGAAUCAGAAGCAAAAUACUGAUGCCACUUAUGACUCCUUCGCUAAUGACAUGUGAAAAAUAAAUUGUUGGAGUUUUGAGCCAUCGGUUAGCUCAGUUAAGAACUGGCAUUGCCUGUGAUUCCGACAAUCGAGUUUUCACUGGAUCAUAAGCGUUGGAGUUCUUAGCGGAAUCGGAAGAAAAGAAAUUGCUCGGAAUAUUCCAACUCCUAUUUCGUCAAGCUUUUGGCUCCACUUACGACUCCGACUCUCGAUUUUCUCUGGGUCGCUGGCACUCCUACGACUAAUGAACAAUUCGACACCAAUUCUGUCUUUUGUGUAAACGAAACUUUAGAUACUCUACCACAUUCAUCCCUCUUGAAAAACACUACUUUAACUCUUCAACUCCCAGAUCAAAUUUGUAAUUCUCCUUACUGUCAACCAUAGAAUUCUUUUAAUGUUAGUUCGGAUAAUUUAGUAUUGGAUCAGCUAAUCCUGCCCGAAUUGAUAAUUAAUAAUGACGUGCCGGCAAAUUGGCUCUCGCUAAUGAGUUCUGAAUUUAGGGAACACACUCGCGGCAAAGUAAUUAAUUUUUCUGUUACGAAUAAUAGGGAACUGGCAUACGGUAGCCAGUUUACUUUAUCAACUCAGUUGAUAACAUUAAAUUAAAUUUGAAUCUCUUUCUUUAGUGCUGGAAGUUCAGAGGAGUGAGAAUUGCAGUAAAGAAGACAAUCAGAGCGUUUUGUUGUUGUUUAUAGCUCAAGGAUGCCUUUAUUUUAUGAGAAUUGACCUCAAUGUUCUUAAACAUCAGUAUAUUAUGCAAAUUUUUUUUUAUCUAAAAAGCACUUGCUCAUCAUAAAGGAACCACAAAUAUGUUACCUUAAAAACAAAACAAGCAUAGCUAAGAAGGACAAAGACACACAUGGGUCAAGAACUGGAAAGAAAAGCUGACUUGUUGAGGAAGCUCUACAUAGUAUCGGUGAAAAAUAACUCGCAGAUUCUACGUCAUUUAGUUUGUUAAAUAAAUGUAGCACCCGCUCACUAAACAUGAUGAAAAUUCGAAGAAUUUGAAUAAAACA